Molecule: unclassified non-coding RNA, 4010 nt
Filed under: Stylophora pistillata
Lineage: Eukaryota; Metazoa; Cnidaria; Anthozoa; Scleractinia; Pocilloporidae
Description: uncharacterized LOC111335441, transcript variant X1
Source: RNAcentral
CUGAGGGUUUAUUGGGUAACAAGAUCAACAUAUUUAUACAACGAGUUUCUAAUAAGUUACUGUACAAUUGUUUGUUAUUAUCCUGAACAUGAAACAAGAGAUGCGAAACAAUAGACCUCGCUUCGUUUAUCAAUCGGAAUGCGAGAUUUUAUUCAAUGAUGCGAUUCUACCAAAAAUUAUAUAUGUAUUGUAUCACAGGUGUGUGACAGGGAGCUUUACCCAGUAUCUAUGUUCAGAGUUGAUGUCGACGAGAGGCAGUCGAGUGAUCUUCCAGAAAGCGGAAAAAGUAGACCUUCCCAAGAAAAUUCAGAUGGUGAAAGGCGUGCAGUGGCUCCAGCAAUUACCCAUGAUGUUCAGCCGUUGAAAACUCAAAUUGCUGAUGCUUAUGGUUUCGUCAAACAUCCUAAUAAAUACCAGUGGAAGACACUACCAAGUUUUGAAGGUCAAAUCGGAAAAGGAGGCUGGGCAGCAGCAGCUCGACUGGCAGAGCAAUUCUUCAGAGACAACAACAACGGCGCAACACCAUGGAAACAUUUACUGGACAACCGAACCCCUAUCAACCUCCUUUACAUUACAGCGGCUAGAUACCUAUUUGUAACCCACGUUCUUUGGGAAAAAAGUAAUAGAAGGUUAAUCGCUUGUCAGGAAAAUAGAGCCGGAGGCAAAAAAAACCUUAUUGAAAGCAUCGAGAUCCCUGCAACUGGAGUGUGUUUUCCUUUACCUUAUGGCAGCGCCACCUACAAAUCAGACUACGACGUCGGGCUCAUCGGAAAAGACUCUGGAACCGUCACACAGAGCUUUAAUCAGUAUUUUCAAGCCGCCGCCCCGGAUGGAUUCGGAAAACCCUCGGAGCUUGUAUUUGACACAAAUGUUUACGCCUUCACCCUGGAAUUUGCUUUUCCAAAGAUGUUUCCCAAGCUACGCGAUAAUUUUGCUAAUAGAGUCGAAAAACUUGAGAUGAAAGUGAAGUACAAAAUGCAAGAAUUGGCCAGUGCUUAUUACAAGGUGUUUAAGUACAACAACGAUUUCUAUACAGUGUUGACGAGUUCAGCCCAAAAUAGAAUGCUAGCGGCUCCCAAGCAAGUGUUAAAUGGGUGGCUGACAACCUUCGGUGACUUAAACACCGCAGAAAGUUUCAGACAAGGGCCAGACACAAGCGAUCAUGACUUCAGACUCGCCCACAACAAUAAGUACCAAGCGUUUGUGGCAGCCGUGUCACAAAACGGAGGAUAUAACCCAAACAUGAUAGACAACGUUGCGAAGGCCCUACUCUACGCUGCUGAGGCGUAUCAUACCCGUGGCGCCAUACGACAUGUGGUAGUGGGCAUGCAGAUGAAGGUGUUCGUAAGGCCCACGUUGAACACACCGCUGUCAACCUACGACCUGUGGGUGUCCAUGAUUGAAAACUGGGGAGAUGCAAAUAAGGAGUAUCAACACUGUGGUCAUGAUAACCUCCUCAUAAAGGCGUGCUUGAACAAAAUGAGCAAAUAUUUGGCGAGGAUGUUCGAUGCCAUGCGACCGAUCCGUAAGCGCAUACAAGGAAACGAAAAAAAUCGAAUGAUAGACAUGGGUGACCCCGCGGGAUAUGCGGACUUAUGGCGGCGUGAGGGUCAGAGAGCACAAGCUGUAACUUAUUACAGGUUUUUGAAACAGUUCCAAUGCAUGGCAAUGGUAAACGUAAACGCAGAGGCACCCGUCGCUAAUCAGCCUCUAUCAAGUAAUUGUAUGGCAAACAUCAACAACGUAGUGAACACUUAUAAUGCAGUCCUGGCAGGUCUCGUGACCAACAAGGACGGAAAAGGGAUGUAAGCCCCAUUCUCCUUGUGAAGACCUCACAGAACAAGUAAUGACUUCUCCUGACAACGCCAAUACACUAUCAAGCAACAGGUGGGGAGAAUUAUGCAAAUCAUCAAGAGACCCAAAUAGUAUUGAUUAUACCUCCAAAUUUUCACAAAGGAUUUUAACUUGCAAGAAUAGUUUCCAAUCAGAUGUAGGCUGGGUAGUCAUCAUAGAUCACCAAAGCAGUACAGCUUCACUGUUAUAUCUAGCCAUUAACUUACUCAUAUUUAAAGUAUACAUAAUCAGUGUCUACAUUAUAAGGCAAAAGAGUCCUUUAUUAGUAGAAAAAGUUCCCAUAAACAAAUGAAAAUGUCUUAUAACAUGAAGAAUCAAUAGGAAAAAUAUGACCUAAUAAGAAUCAAAAUCUACAAAAACUGGAAAUAACACGCAAUAUCGAUGUUUGAAGUUCCUGCUUGCCGCCAUUUUGAAUCGUUUGACGCCACACGGUUGCCGUUCUGGAUCGUUACCAGUAACUGAGCAACUCCGCACCUACCCCUCCCCUAAUCCAAAUUAAACGUUCACUUGCUUAAAGUUGACUGUUUUGGUUUAGGGCGGGGAGGGGUGGGUGUGCAAGUGCUCAGAUACUUCCAUUGAUCAUUCAUUAUUAUAACCAAACAACAGCUCCUAUGAUCGUGAGGCUCUGAUCAGUCAUUAAGCAGAUCAUAGUUUCCAGUGAUGGAUCUUGGGGGGUACACGGGGGGGGGCGACCACCUCCACCCCCUCCCCUCCUGAUUUUGGGUAAAAAAAAGUAGACACAUAGGGAAGAAGAGCCGCAGGUGGACACACGGAAACAAAACCGCACCCCCUCCCCCUCCUCCCUUAGCUCAAAGUCUGGAUCCGAGGCCUGGAUCCGCCACUGGUUUCAACCAGGAAAUUAAAGUCACACGAUCUAACUCCUCCGCAAGCACGAAAUUCCACUUUCAAAGGCCGUAUCUGUUUCGCUUUUUUCUUACAAAACAACGCUUUUUUCACAUUAAUGCAGAAAAAUUUUAACUUUAAAGAUCAACUUAGAUAACUUGACGACCAUCUGUUCUGACAGUAGUGGUUUGGUAUAAAGAAUGAGAGAAGCCGAUAUACGCCCUCGUGGCAUGAGAAUACUUAACUACCAAGAUCUUAUUAUUAUUCUCCUCACUAGCUGCUACACAUUUACUCGUAUAGUUUUUAAGAGAAUUUGGUGUUUAAUCAAGACAACAAAUUCUAUCUGAUAAGCUUGAGAAAUAUCAUUAUCGAGAGAAGUUGCAUGUUAAUCACUUCAACUCUUAUCUUCCGGUAAUCUUUUAUUUACAAUAGUCGUUGCAUGAUACCUAACUAAGAUAUUCGAGAUCUAAAACCAAGAGAGAAAACCCUGGAGAUUAUAAAAUCGGUGAAAGAAUCCAUAAUUGCACUUUGGAAAUCAUUGAUUAAGCAGUAGAUGUUUUAAGAGAUAGACCAUUUUACGUAAAAACUUUUAAAGUGACACCUGCACUGCUAGCAGUCUCACUCAUUAGGACGAAGUGAGACUGAUCUGGGACCAUGUUGGUCACGCGCGUCCUUAAUGGGAGCCAUUCUAUUAUCUAACGUAUUUUAGAACGCAUGAAGUCUUUACUUAGGUUGUAGUUCGUCCCUUAAGAUUUUCUUGACUCUUGGUAACUGUGAGGCUCGAUUUCCAGCCGCUGUUCGGGAACCGGAGCCCGCGCUCCUGCUCGAAGAGGGAGUAACGAAAAAGGCUGGAUCCGAGUGAGGGGCGGAAAUCGAGCCUUAGUUAAAUUUGGGUGAUUGUUCAUCCCUGUUGGAGAGCCAGGGAAAAAGCUGCGAUAUCGAUGAAGAUUGCGCCGAGCUGUCCGGAACGUGACUACCUUCAUAUCAUACUAAAAUACCGACAGCUUUUACAAUAAAUAGCAACAGUUUGUAUUAGGAUGAAGUGAACCUGAGAGAAGAUUUAAUUGGGCUUCAGACCGGCUCGGACCAGAAAGUGGUCUUAAGUAUAAGCGUAACGAUUUCUUCCUUACAUAAAUUUAAACUUUUCCUACCAAAUAUGAGCGACUGAAAGUCGGGACCGCCUAUUGUUAUCAUUGAAUAAUCUUAACCGCAUUUAACCGAAAAAAAAAAAAAUUAAAAAAGCCUAAAAAAAAGCCAGUAGUCGUACUCAACACUUUAACAACAAAACUAGGAUUACUUUCUCGUAUGGAUUA